This 237-nucleotide ribosomal RNA is filed under the name uncultured bacterium. Its description in RNAcentral is "partial 16S ribosomal RNA". It matches the Rfam family "Bacterial small subunit ribosomal RNA", at positions 15 to 236 of the family's 1533-position model. The record is from RNAcentral.
GAUCAUGGCUCAGGAUGAACGCUGGCGGCGUGCCUAACACAUGCAAGUCGAACGAAACACCUUUUGAGAUUCUUUGGAUGAUUGAUUGGUGACUGAGUGGCGGACGGGUGAGUAACGCGUGGGUAACCUGCCCUGUACAGGGGGAUAACAGCUGGAAACGGCUGCUAAUACCGCAUAAGCGCACGAGGAGACAUCUCCUUGUGUGAAAAACUCCGGUGGUACAGGAUGGGCCCGCGU